UACGUAGGGGGCAAGCGUUAUCCGGAUUUACUGGGUGUAAAGGGAGCGUAGACGGCGAUGCAAGCCAGAUGUGAAAGCCCGGGGCUCAACCCCGGGACUGCAUUUGGAACUGUGAGGCUGGAGUGUCGGAGAGGCAGGCGGAAUUCCUAGUGUAGCGGUGAAAUGCGUAGAUAUUAGGAGGAACACCAGUGGCGAAGGCGGCCUGCUGGACGAUGACUGACGUUGAGGCUCGAAAGCGUGGGGAGCAAACAGG
This 253-nucleotide ribosomal RNA is filed under the name uncultured bacterium. RNAcentral's name for it is "partial 16S ribosomal RNA". It matches the Rfam family "Bacterial small subunit ribosomal RNA", at positions 524 to 776 of the family's 1533-position model. The record is from RNAcentral.